Molecule: long non-coding RNA, 230 nt
Filed under: Homo sapiens (human)
Lineage: Eukaryota; Metazoa; Chordata; Mammalia; Primates; Hominidae
Description: non-protein coding lnc-TTC38-5:6
Source: RNAcentral
UUGUCCCCUCGGAGGGAGGGCCCACGGGCGGGGACAUCGGGACUUGCCCUUUCCUCGGCGCAGCGGAGCUGGGGCGUCGCCGACUCAGAAGGUGCUUUCCGAGACCUCCAGGGAUCUCCGAGGCGAGGAAACCCGGGCCCCGGACAGACCGACCCUGGCUGAAGCUCAGGGCCCUGUCUGCUCUGUGGACUCAACAGUUUGUGGCAAGACAAGCUCAGAACUGAGAAGCU